CAACUCAUAGCAAAAUCAACACAUGAAAAAAUUAAAAAUUGAAAGUCUUAAUAACAGAAUGUAAAAGAUCCCAAUUGGUUACAUUAUUCCCCCAAACAAUGAAUUUAGCUGCUCAUAAUACAAGAAAAGUAGGAAUUUGUCUUAGAAUACAUCACUGAAUUUGUAAUAAAAAUUUAGAAGAAAAAGUAGAAUUCUUGCACCAAAAUAUCCUUCAUCUUCCAAUGAAUGCUUCUAAUCUUCAAUUGUUUGGUGUUAAUCUUCUUGAAUUUCUCUUUUAAAUCUCUCUUCUUGUUGUCUUCUCUCCAAUAUGUCAAGAACCCUUCAAAAGUAUGAGAAAGAUGUAUUUACAGCUGCCCUUCCGUUUUAUGUAGAAGUAGGGUUUUUAUGGAUUUAAAAACGGUCCAAAAAAACGCGCCCUAGAUAUUCAAUUGCAGCGCCUAGGCGCUGAUGAUAGCGCCUCGGCGCUAUGGUUGCGGCACUGUCUCUCGGGUCCAAAUUUCAUCUUUUUUUCAGUUUCGUAGCGCUUAGGCACUGCCUCUUCGUCCACUUUAAUACCUCUUUUCACAUCGCUUCUCCUAAUCUUCAAAACAACACUAAUAAACACAUCAAAAACGUUAUAUACUCACAAGAUCUAGCAUUUAAUUAAACUAAAAUUGUGCAAAAAUAUGAGUGAAACAAACUCAUCACUCGACAUACAAGUCCUCAUCAUCGGGAGCCACACGGGAUGAAUUGGAGGACGGUACACUUGUUCCAACCUGUAAACUCCCACCCGGCUCAUAUUUCUGUUGGGAUAAAGCAAUCAAAUUCUCAUUUGUAAACUCGUUUAUAUUCUCAUUGUCAUCAACUGUCGAUGGAAUUCUAUGCGUAACAGCGACAUCACGAUCAAAAGCAACUGUCUCAGGAAUAACCACAUCAUCCGCAGGAACUAUCUCCACUGUCUCCCAAAAACCUCGAUCAUUGUUAUCCGCCUUACCUGAAUUUUCGCGUUCACCUUCGAUAACAUCCUUCUUAAUUAAAGUCACACCAAGAACAGUCGGAGUCCGAUGCAUUUUAUUCAAUUCUAAUAGAUAAUUCAAUUCAGCAUCAUUAGUAACGAAUACCAAUGGCAUCGGAAUAGAUGAAUCCCCAUAACUGUUGAAUAGAUAUCGCAAUUGCAUAUCGUACUGAGAUUGAUCGACAUUUAGCUUAUUUUGCAAAUGGUGAUACAUUUCUGAGUAUGAUGUACUCUCUAUUAUGAUAAUUGCAAUACAACCACAUAUGUCACUUGUCCAUCUCCAUUCCCACCGAUUAUUUUCAUUCAAUUCGAAAUCACCAAUAUAACAGAAGGGGAUUAUCAUAUCUACAUGAGGAAAUAGAUUCAAUCAACUUCAUAAUUAUAAGAAAAAAUCAGUGCCAAUAGUCGGCUGUUAAACAUCCAAACCAUCGGCUGUUUAAUAGCCAACAGUCAGCCGACUGUUUAGUUGUUUAACAGCCGACUGUUUGGCUAUUUUGCACAUGAAUUUUUUUUCUUCUAUGGUUCUAAAGAAAAAAAGUAUAGAUCUGUUCAAAUUUUUUUAUAUAGGUAAGAUCUGUUAACAAAAAUUUAUACUAACUAUUACUAUAUUGAAAUAAAAUUUCUCUAGUCAAACUAGGGCUGGGCAAAUCUCCUGAAUCGAAUCGACCGAACCCGAACCCGAACCGACGGUUCUUGUCAAAUUAAAUACCCGAACGGGUAUCUGAAUUGAGAACCGACGGGCACGGUUCGGUUCUCGAUUUUAGACCAAGAUCUGAAGAAUCGAAUAAGAACCGAAUAUUUCUAUUUUUUUUAUUAAGUAAAUCAAAUUAUGUUAAUUUUAAUUUGUUCUAAACAAAUUAACAAUUUAUGAAUCCAAAUUUUUGACCCAAUAAUUUAUUUCAUUUCUAAUUUUUUAAUUUUUGGCCCCAUUACCCAUUUUAUUGUUUCAUUUCUUAGCAGAACAAGAUUCAAUCCGUUAAAUAACUCUAAACACCUACACUAAAGUGCAUAACGUUGUCUAGACUCUCAUACUCACUCUCGUAGCCUCCCUGACGUUUCAAAAUCUAUACAAUCGUCGACCGAUGCUGUGACCUUCAAUCGAAGUUGCGACCUCCAUCGACCGAAACUUUGACCAUAGCAAUCAUUUGAAUAAGGUAGUCUACUAGUCUAUUGAAUUCCAAAAUCAUUGGAUGUAUCAUUAAUUGUAUUUAUAUAAUGUUGUUAUAAAUGUUAAAAAAUAUAAUUAUAGUACAUAACCGAACUGAACCGAACCAAACCCGAACGAUUCCAUAAUUAUAUUUGGACCCAACGGUUCCAUUUACUAGAGACCCGAAAAUUUUGGUUCGGUUCGGUACUAAAGAGAACCGAACCGACCCGCGUCCACCCCUAAUUCAAACGUAUACUAAUUUACUGAAAACGAAAUUAAACAUGUGUAAAUAUACUUACCGAUUUGAAGUAAUUGAUAUCAAAAAAAUUCUGGCUUCAGCGUUUGAACGUUUUUUGAGAUGUUGAAGUUGAAGUUGAAGUAGAUGAAAGAUGAGAGAUUUUUCUGUCUUGGAAGCUCCUUUUGAAGUUUUAUAAGUGGGGAAGUGUUUAAUUUUCAAUUAUUAACUAAAAGGGUAGUAAGUCCUUUCAACAAUACAUUGUUUUGUAAUUGUAUAAUGCAUUUAAAGGCAUCUUUGUCUUUUACCAUUCAAGAGGCCAAUGUGAUAAUAUUCAUAAUUUUCAAAGUUAAAGUGGAAUUUUGAACCUUUGACUUGGUCAAAUUUAAAAGUACCCCCUGAACCGAAGACUAAUAAUGUACUAGCUAGCUGAUGGAGUUCUGACUAAUAUCAAAUUCUUGACUAGAUCCAGAACUCUGAGAUCUCGACUUAAAACUCCCAGUAUCAUUAACACUAGUCCAAAAUCUUCCUCUGUUCUUUUUAUGCUGUCCACUAGAGGUUCUUGUUUGGCUUUGAUUUUCCCAAAUAGCUAACUGAAUCCCCCAAAUCUGUCCUGCUUGUAAUGCUGCCUCAACUCUCAAGGUCGCCUCAACUAAUGGAACAAAUCUGGCAUGUCCCUGCCGCGUCACCAUCGCCCUAAUAUCAGGCCUCAAGUUCUCUUCAAAUUGUCUGCUUUUGUCAUUCUCCUCAUUUGCUAGAACCAAUGCAUACUUCGAAAGCUCCACAAACUUGGUAUGAUAUUCAGAAACAGUCAUUGAACCUUGAGUAAGUCUCAAGAACUCAUUUUGCUUGGCAUUCUUUUAUGAAAGAGGAUAUUCGGUCUCAAAGAAAGCAUCUCUAAAAAUAGCCCAUGUGAUGUCAUUGGCUUCACAAUACCUGAUCUUAAAAGCAAAUUACCAGUCAACUACCACACCUUUCAGUAAGAAAGUAGCAAGGCGUAGUUUCUUUUCCUCAGAACAACCCAUAACAUCAAAAACACUUUCUAAAUUCCUAAUCCAUUCCUCAGUAUCAGUAAGGUUAGCUAUGCCCACAAAAUGUUUAGGACCGAGCUUAAUUCCCCUCUCAAUGCUAGUAUCUCUAUUUGGGUUGGGAAGAAUAGAGGCAAUGGCUGUAGCGAGUUUGUCGAAUAGGGGUUCAUUUCCAACCACAUUACCCUGUGUUGGUAGUCCUUGCGUCUGAUGAACUAAUGCCUCACCGACAUCUUUUCCUAGAGGGGCAUUUGGAUUUUCAGGUGAUCAGUGUCGACACCUACCUGCUUUGCCAGUGCGCAUCCUUAACCUACAAUAUGCAUAACAUGUUGAAAGAUUAGUAUAAAUACAACAUAUCCCAGGGACUCUUGAACCAUGCUUUGAUACCAACUUGACACAUCCCAUCCCGAACUCCUUACAAGACUCAAAGACAUGGCGUGUGCCGAUGAUAAGUGCCAACUAAAAUAUAACUAAACUUUGAUAAUAAGGCUUCAUUUGACCAACUAAAAUUUUUCUGAACUUCAAUAUACCAACAUUAUAUUAUCAUUCACUCCCCAAGCCAAAAAAACAUCUUUAUCAUUUGCAUCAUAACUGCCUCUCAAAAGGAUAAUUCUAGGGCAGUUUAGAUUACAAUAUUCCAUCGUGAUCAUUGGUACAUAUAAAUACAAAAAUCCUCAAAUAUGAUGCAAAUCACUUGAUGAUUACACAGUUUUAAACAAAAUAACCUACAAUUGGUGGUGGUAGUGGCUGCAAAACAAUCAAUAUGACCUUUACCACAGCUUAGUCAACAGCCUCUUAUAAGGAAAAGUUAAGAAAAUGUAAGAGAUAAUAAUCCCAGUGAGUUGAGUGUUUAAAAUAUGGUUGUACUGUCCUUUAUGUAUGUAUAUAUAAUUAUAUACAAGAAAAUGAGUAAGUGCAUUAGACGAAUUCAAUGAAAUGAAAUCAUAAUCUGAAAUCCAUAAUCUGAACUGUAAAUGGGAAAAUGUAAGCUGAAGGCUAAUAAUCUACCAUAUACUUAAAAUUCAUAUCAACAUAUAUCCAUGCAAACAUCUACUAAUGAUCUGAAAGCUAUAUAAUCAUAUGCACAUGAACCGUUUGAUCAAUACUCUGUAUACGACCGUAGCCUCUCGGUGCACAAGAUGGAAGCAACAUAAUCAUCCUUAUACAGGGCUGUAGCCCUCAGUGUAUAAUAGAUACCUUUACCCAAGGUCGUAGCCCCUCGGUGGAUAAGAGUUACCCUUACACACGCCUGUAGCCCCUCAAUGCACUAGAGUAAGAUGAUUAUAUCAAUUAUUUUCUGAUAAUUUCAAAACAAUCAUGCUCAUUUACUAAUUUCUCGAAAAAAGGACUUUUCAUGUAAUUAAUAUGCCUCUAUAAAAUAAAAAGAAAAUCUUUUUUUUUUUUUUUUGGAAAAGUAGGUUUUUCACUCACAGAUAUAGGCUAAACUAACGGGGCUAGUAUGUUGUUCCCACGUCCAAAUCCCCUCCUGAAAUGAUCAUACAUAUAAGCCACUUCAAUUUCAUCCAUAUACAAUUACAAGGGAUUUCUCAAUAAUAACCCCUAUUUAUUAUCAAAAUGAAAUAUAUAUCCAUCAAUAAGCUGAGACUUAGCCCCUGUUUGGCCUCCAUUAAUUUUUAUUCUAUUACAUUUCAUUUUUCUUUUUUAUUUUUAAUCACACAAUCUUUCAUAAAAUAAUAUUACAUGUAAACCGAAAUUUUUCAACCACUCAUUUUUCAAAUAAAUAUUAUUCCACCCAUUUUCAUUACCACAAAAUGGGGGCCAAACGAGGGCUUAAUAUUUCUAUUUCAUUUGGUUAACUUAAACAUACGUUCACCUAAUUUUCGAAUCACUCUACAUCCCAAACUCGUUAAUACUAACCUUUCCCGGUUGCCUCGUCAAGAUUCAACAAACUUUUCAUGACAAUAAUUAUCCACAUUCCUUAUUUAAAUUCUCUUUUAACUAAAUACAUAAAUCUUAUCAAAAACUCAUUUCUUAUAUUUUCAAUAUUCAUCCAAAC
This 5421-nucleotide long non-coding RNA is filed under the name Olea europaea subsp. europaea. Lineage: Eukaryota; Viridiplantae; Streptophyta; Magnoliopsida; Lamiales; Oleaceae. The record is from RNAcentral.